CCUACGGGUGGCUGCAGUGGGGAAUCUUGCACAAUGGGGGAACCCCUGAUGCAGCGACGCCGCGUGAGCGAUGAAGUAUUUCGGUAUGUAAAGCUCUAUCAGCAAGGAAGAAAAUUACGGUACCUGACUAAGAAGCCCCUGCUAUUUACGUGCGCGUCGCCGAGGUAAUACGGAGGGGGCAAGCGUCAUCCGGAUUUACUGGCGGUAAAGGGAGCGUAUACGGCUGUGCAAGACAGAUGUGAAAGCCCGGGGUUCAACCCCGGGACUGAUUUUGGAACGGUGUGGCUGGAGUGUCGGAGAGGCAGGCGGAAUUCGUGGGGUAGCGGUGAAAGGCGUAGAUAUUAGGAGGAACACCAGUGGCGAAGGCGGCCUGCUGGACGAGGACUGACGUUGAGGCUCGAAAGCGUGGGGAGCAAACAGGAUUAGAUACCCGAGUAGUC
Molecule: ribosomal RNA, 440 nt
Filed under: uncultured bacterium
Lineage: Bacteria
Description: partial 16S ribosomal RNA
Rfam family: Bacterial small subunit ribosomal RNA
Source: RNAcentral